UCACUUCGGAAUGCGAUCCUGCUGGACC
Molecule: small RNA, 28 nt
Filed under: Bombyx mori (domestic silkworm)
Lineage: Eukaryota; Metazoa; Arthropoda; Insecta; Lepidoptera; Bombycidae
Description: ovarian small RNA-6940
Source: RNAcentral